GCGGCAGUUACGCAGAUUGCGUAAGCGAAAGGCUUUCCGUAUGCUGAGAGUGCGGGCGCCGUGCCGGUGGUAACGCUAAUAGCGUAAGUCAGGUGAGGGGAGCUGUGUGCGAACGGAGGACGGAGGAGCGGAGACAAGGGACAGGAUUAUGUUGGGAACCAUACACCUUCAUUCACAGAACAACUUUUGCUGUGCUAGAAGUUCAGCAGCAGAAAGAAGACCUGUCAUUUCUGCACAGAAGGUUUCUACAGGAUCCAGAUGACAGACGUGGGACA
Molecule: long non-coding RNA, 275 nt
Organism: Rana temporaria (common frog)
Lineage: Eukaryota; Metazoa; Chordata; Amphibia; Anura; Ranidae
Exons: 3
Source: RefSeq, a predicted model, not a curated record